CGCUGCUGAUGAUUUAAGCAGUGAGUAAUCUCAACUGCACUCGUCUAAAAUUUUGGCCAGCUCCCAUCAAAAUUCAAGGCCCCAAUCCGGAUCUGACCUACAUCUCACCUCGCAAGGUCAUUGGCUGCUUACUACGAAGUGAUAAGAAUGUUGUGUAAAUAGAGUUAUAGGUUAGGUUUGGCAGUUAGUAGUACGGAUUUGUUGUGUAGUGAUAAGAAGUCAUUUCCUUUUAAUAAUUAUUUUAUUGUUUUAAUUUUUGUUCCAAAAUGACUGUGAGUCAGGGUGUCAUUAGCAACUUCAAAAGAAUCAUGAAUACUUAUCCUUUAGCAAGAGGGAUGUUAUCCUAUUCAAUAAUCUGGCCCUCAGGAUGUGCAGUACAACAAGUUUUGAUAGCGGAGGAGGAGAAGAUAGAUUUUGCUCGGGUAGCAAGGUUUAGUCUUUAUGGUGCUCUUUACGUUGCUCCCACCCUCAAUAUAUGGCUAACAAUUGCCCGACGAAUAUGGCCCGCCAACAAUCUACGCUCAGCUAUAACGAAGUCAAUUGUAGAGCAAAUAACAUACACGCCCAUCGCCAUGACCAGUUUCUACUUCGGCAUGACUUUACUGGAAGGACGAACGAUCGAACACGCUAAGAAUGAAGUGAAAGAGAAGUUCUGGCCCACUUAUAAGGUUGGGGCUUGCAUAUGGCCAGCAAUACAAACCUUCAACUGGACUUACGUCUCUGACAAAAAUCGCAUUGCGUUUGUCAGCAUGUGCAGUUUUAUUUGGACAACUUUCCUGGCUUACAUGAAGCAUCACUACAAUGUACCUGUUGAAAAGAGCCAAGCUUUAGUUCCAUUAGAUAGAUAACGAAAUCUCCUCCAUGUUGAGCAUUUUGCAUUUUUUUUCUUCUCGCUUUGGAAGGUAUAAACAACAUGGUUCUAUUCUUUGCAUUCGAAAGAAGAAGGUAAUCACAUAAGAUUUCGUGAUUUUAAAGUUCCUAUUCUCAACGUCCUUUAAAGGAAGAUGUUGGAGUUUGUGGGAUGUGUGUCAUCAAUCUUGUUCGGUUUGCGUAUACUUUGAAUCUAGUCACUAGGCUUAGAUGGAGCUUAUUAGCUAGGCUUUUGUUCAAUUUUGAGUUUUUUUUAAACUCAUAAGUACUUUACAUAUACAAACGCAAAGCGUUGUAUGGAAGCAAGUAGUGGAUGGGGACGUCUUUUCAUCUUUUUUAGUUCUGUUUAAAUUGAGGACCUAUUCAAGAUGAUUUGAAGGUCUCCCAUCUUCAAUUUAAAUCAAUUUAGAUCGAAAGGAAAACUGCCAGAAAGAAAAAAAGUUUCUCAUUUCCCAGAGGUAUAUUUCGUUAUUUUCUUUCAGACUUAUUCAAAGUUUGAAAUCAGGGGUGUAGAAUCUUCCAAUUUUCCAUGAUUUCACGUGCCCACCCAAUGGCUCUCCAUAGUUUUCUCUUCACUUCUCCACAAAAUUUCCCUCCAAUUCUACAGUGAUGACCUUUUUUUUCUUGUUUCCUUUGAUUUCUAACUUUUGACCUCUAAAUAUUGUCCCCCUAUCCACAUUUAUAAGAGCUUUUCAUAUUUUAACAAGCCUGGGUGAGCAUGUAAUCGAGCAUUUUCUGCACCCUUGGUUGAAGUUGCUUAAAUAACUGUGGAAAGCAUUCAGUUUUGGCAAGCACCAAUGUUAAGCAUUUUUGGCGCAAAUGAAGGAGAAUAUCACAAAGUUAUUUUUCCAACCUCAGUAUUUUACACAAUGCACGUUACUUUUUUAGAAUUCAUUCAUUGUUUUACAACUUUUUUUUGGUUGUACUUCAUUCAGAGGUAGAUUUUCUUAAAGGUUAAGUAAGAACCCAAGUGUUCACAGUGAUAACUUCUACACGAUUCGUCUUAAAAGGGAAUGGACUGAUGCUGCCAUCUUAAAAUGAAUAAUGCUAAAGACUUGAUCUCAUGACAGUCAAUUUUUGACCAAAUGAAUAGUCCUGGUCUCUGUUGAUAGCUCAAGGACCGAAACGUUCAAUGAGGCCAAGCUGAUUUCUCUGCCAUUAUUAGUUUUAAAAUAGUAGCACCAGUCUACUUUAUUUUAGAGCGACCUAUGUAUUUGUAUUUGACACCCCAUUGAAAUUGACCAUACGUUAUUUCUUUCUCAGAAAAUCUUUCUAAUUUUUAAAAUUCUGUUUUAAUUAUUCACAUUCCAGCCCCAUUGAUAUCCUUUUGUACAUAACCUACAUAUUUUAUUGAAAUUUAAAGGACCACACUCAGGGGUUGGAAAAUUCUCCAAUCGUCCCAGCAAUUUUGGAUUAUUUAUCAAUACUUUUUUCUAAUCUCCGUAAGGAAAUUUAGAGAGGUAUUUUUGUUUUGUAUUCAGAAUCUGCAAAUAUUGUAUAUUAAUCUUUAAGAAAAAUUAACGUUCAACGUUAGGCUUGACUGUAUCAUUAGAAUAACGUUCAACGUUAGGCUUGACUGUAUCAUUAGAAUCUUAAAAUAUUGGCUGUGACUGCAUUUUGUCAGUGAAACUGCAGGGAAGCAUAUCUCAGUUUGCGAUAUUGCUGACUUCAUGUCAUAUUUUAUUUUCUAAGUAGAAAAUGACACAACACCAUUUUUUGAAGCUUCAGUGAUUUCUCUUCUCUCUAUCAGUACUCUAGGAUCAAAAGGUACCUUACUCCAUUUUAGUCAUUUUGAGAUAUCGGGGGGAAACUGUCGGCCUCUUUGAUUCCAAUGUAAAUCGCAAUUCUUGAAACUCCAUAUCUGAUAACUGGCAUAAGAUAGGGCCACCAAAUUUCCCACACAUACGAAGCUGUUAUUAGAGAUUUCCAAAAUGCCAUUAACUUGAUUUUUCUAAUAAUUUGCGUUAGGUACUUUAUGGCUCUGGAAUAUGGAUAGAAAGAGAAAUCUAAAGAGUUCAAUGUCAGUCUGGUCUCAUUUGAUACAUUAAAAGAUGUGCGAGAAUUUUGAAACACCGCAAACAAGAUGCGCAGUCUUGCCGUUUUACUGUCAAAAUGCGUAAAAGCAAGAGAAGCCCUAAAGGGAUGUUUUAGUAUGGCUUAGAGUUGAUGAGGAUAAACCAAAUCAUUCAAAUUUUUAAGAGUUGGACGAUCUUCCUCUGGUUUGAAUUAAUAAAUACCCUAAGUUUCUUUGAAGCAAACAGAUAUGAACUAUCUGAUAUUGUCUAGCCUCAAAGUAUUCACUGUUUGGUCCUGAUUCUCAGUCAAGGAGGGCAUCAAAAGAGAUAAUAGAUUUAUUUUUUGACAAUGCUGGUGCCUAAUGGCCUACCUCUUACCCAUUUACUUAAUGUCCCUAUAACUCCUUUGACAUUUUUGGGUGUACCCCUGUGCUAUGCUACAUAGUUAAGUAGGUAAUUAUUGUUAGAUUGUUAAGUGGUAACGGAGAUUGGGUAGGUACUUGAAGGUUUUCAUGUUCAGCAUAAGAACCAUAGAAUAAUUUGAAUUUAAAGAACGAUCAGAACUGCACAAGGUUAGUGAUUUUGCCAACAGUCAGUAAAAUUCAGUAUUAAACUGAAAUUCUGAUUAGAGAGAAAAAUCUCAUCUGAGCACACAUUUUUCUGCAAAGAGAUAAGUGUACUGUUUGGUGUGCCAAUGGUUACGACCAAUCAGGAAGGCAAUUGUAAAAAAUCACCAACUCAGUCCAAACAACUUGUGCCUUGGACAGCAACCUACUCGUCAUGAGAACGUAGAGCAUACUUAUUUUUAGUUGUUAGCGUUGCGUUGUUAGCCAUAUCCGUGACACAUUCAAUCUCUCAGCAGUUAAAGAUGACCAUAUGGAAAUAUUUACCAUAUCGUGCACAGUGUUAGAAUAUGGUAAACGUACAGGUUUGAUUCCUACCAUGUUUACUCCUCCAUCAUACUCAUAGAAGAUUCUGAGCCAAGUCAACUUAAUGAAACAAAGGCAGCUAUCAUUGUUUUCUGUCAUCAUUUUCUGCUGUUUCUUUCAAUGGACACAAAGCAUUAAGUACAUUAUUUUGUCUCUUUUUUUUACAUUUUUUUUUAAUAUCAAUUUUGACAAUUGGUAUAAACGCCGAAGACAGCAAUAAUUUGGUUGUGAAUUCAGUUUAGAUUGAUUAUCAUGUGAGAUGUGUAUUUAAAAAUCUCACUGUAGAGACGAGCAAAGGUUGGAUUAAGGACACAAAGAGUUCCAUUACUCAAACAAGAUGUCCCACGAAGAUAGCCCCUGAGAGAUAAGUUACCUUUCCUCAGAAAUUAAGGGCGUUUUAGAGAAGUGUUACCUCAGAUCAACAAGGGAAUAUUUUGAGCUGUGUACAAGAGCUUAACGUAGAACCCAGUGAAAUGAUUGUAACUUCAUUCUUAACAAUAAAUCUGUUCCAUCAAGAUGAAACAUUAUUUUAAUGUCAGAUUAGUAUAAAUUAACGGUUAAAAUAGAAUACUAUUUUCUAUGAAUAUCCAACGUUACUCCCACCACUAACCGAGUAAGCCCCACUUUCCCUCAAAGAUGGUUUGAUAAAUUGUUGGUUUAAUGCUACUGCCUCAUUCGAACAGUUGAAGUAUCAAACCGUGAAUACCAGAAAAAUGUUAAAUUCCGAAGAUGUAUUAUUAUCCUUUCAAUGUUGUAAGCAUGGAAAUACCCGAGUCUUUGAUAGCAGAAUUGAUCAAAACCCACCGUUCAAAUUACAGUUGUCAAAGCAAAUACGUCAUUGAACCAGACAGUUUUAUUUUUUAGAGGGAGCUUUGCAGAGUGCACGGCAUGUACCUGUGUUUAAAUUUGUAAAUUAUACACCAAAUUAAUCAUACCAAAAAUUUGUUUUAACAUUUACUGUAACAUUUUUAAAUAUGUGUGAUUCCUUCAGUAACUAUUAUAGAAUUUUUAAAAUAAUUGCCUGAAUAGGUGGCAAAAUGCAAGAAAGAAGACUGAUGAUAGCCGAAUUUCACUAGAAAUGAGAGCUUUCAUUAUUAACUCUAAGAAAAAUUCUCUAAUUUAAUAUUGUGAAAACUGAACUGAUGUUUAUGAAACUCUCGAACAAUUAUUGUUUUUGGAUUAAUAGUCAAGUCUACAAGACUGGCUGUGAACUGUGAUAUUUGUCAUUUAUUUUAUAAUACUGAGUAAGUAUCCACAAUCUUUAAGUGGCUUAUCAGUAGCAGAUUAAUGCGAGUCACAUCAAACCGUAAAUCCUAAGAUAUUUUGGCCGAUUGUACAAUAAUCAUUCAAGACUCAUGAGACAAUUUGUCCUGGGUAAAAAAAAAUUGAUCUUCAAAACUUAUGCGAAACUCAUUAGGAUUGUUUCAGCCUCAAUAUAAAAUGAAGAGAGCUCUGAGGGGUUUAAUUCAAGUAAAAGUUUAGAACCAACUGAAAUAGCAAUAAUGUUCUAAGCAUUCAGAGCUAGUAAUUUUCUCUUCUUUAACAAAUAGUUUGGAAGCGUCAAGGGUUCUUUUCUACCUGCCUUAUAUUUAAAAAUAUGUCCAAAAACUUCGUCAGGUAAUUUUUAUAAAUUUUUGCUACUUACCUUUCAUUUUUGGUUCAAUAAUAGAGUCAAGGAAGAAAUGACCAUCACAUUGUGUAUGGUCUCUGACUGCAAUCAAAAAUUUUGUCAUAGCCUUUCCAUGUCAAUUCAAGGACAGUUCUGGCAGACACCUAGGUAAGACAUCCAGUCUUUGCUUUUCAGCAAAGCUCAAGAUUCUACUUUAAGUUCUGUCUGUUGUUCGAUUUAAGGUGACUUUCACCAUUGGAAACACACCUUUUUUUUAGCUCAGAAGUCCUUGCAAUCCCCCUUCCUCCUCUCAAUGACAUUAAGGUCUCAAAUGGAUAGACCUUUUAACAGAUUCCUUUCAUUAACUCAAUGUAAGAUCAUACCUAUACUAGAAGUAAUUUUGGUGAGCCAAAGGUUCGAUGUUCAGUAGAACUAAUUCUUGUCGUUUAGCUCCCUAUACGGAGCAUUCUUGUUGUUUUCAGGAUUUCUGUUUUUCAAGGAUCUUCUGAUUUUGUUUCUUACUGUCUUAUAAUUUUAGAUCAUUUUCUUUUCAACUGAUCUGCAUCUGUUAAAAAUUCUUUAAUAGAAUUAUUGUUAACUCUCUUUGUUACUUUGCUUGUCCUUUGGCGAUAAGUCUCAAGUAAUUUGACAAAUAUUUAUUUCGGAAUAAAUCAUGUUACCAAAAA
Non-coding RNA from Bemisia tabaci, 6109 nucleotides. Lineage: Eukaryota; Metazoa; Arthropoda; Insecta; Hemiptera; Aleyrodidae. The record is from RefSeq and is a predicted model, not a curated record.